This 1142-nucleotide long non-coding RNA is filed under the name Salmo salar (Atlantic salmon). RNAcentral's name for it is "lncRNA (ENSSSAG00000085254.1)". The record is from RNAcentral. Lineage: Eukaryota; Metazoa; Chordata; Actinopteri; Salmoniformes; Salmonidae.
AGAGGAGUAGUUGGACCAGGCAGAGGAGUAGCUGGACCAGGGAGAGGAGUAGCUGGACCAGGACAAGGGAGAAGGACAGCCCCAACAGGUUUUAAAGGAGAGUAAGAGCUGUUGUCACCGAUGAAAUAAGAGCCACCAUCAUAAAACAUGUGAUAAACCAUGGUCUAUCACUGAGAGAUACUGGUGAAAGAGUCCAGCCUAAUCUCAGACGGUCAACCGUGGCUUCCAUUGUCCAGAAUUGUCAACAAACCAACAGGACGUAACGUCUUCCUCCCUCUUGGGGAAGAGGAAAGCUCCUCAGUGAAGACCAAUAGCAUUCCAUUGUAGGAUUGGUCAUUGCUGACAAUGCAAUAAAACUGAGAGACCAGAAUUGUAGAGGACAACCUGGUAUUUCACAAUGUGGAAAGUUUCAGCCUGACUACCAUUGCUCCUUACCAUUGAAAGGAAUAGUGAGCGUGUCAAGGAACUUGGCACUAAUACGUCCAGAGAGUCAUGGAGUUGGAGGCUAAUCAGACCCCACAUGAAAUCAUUAAUGUAGACGAGGCAGGGUUUAACCUGGCAAAAACAAGUUGGCGGGGAAGAAACGUCAUUGGGAAAAGGACCACCGUUGAUGUGCCAGAUGACCUCCACAAACAACUCGCACCAGAAGCAGAAAGGGAACAGGUGGGAGGAAACAGGAGGACAUUUGUGAUUGCAUGGGACAAUGUAGCAUUCCAUCAUUCACAUGCAAUCACAAACUGGUUUGCAGCCCAUCCAAGAAUGGUUUCCCUUUUCCUCCUCACCUACUCGCCUUUCUGCUUGGAGGUGGAAAGUGUAUGAUCAUCGGCCACAUGACCAAAUGUACCUCCUGGAUGCAAUGGAUGCCGGCUGCAGAGACAUCUCAGCUGAAGACUGCCAGGGGUGGAUAAGGCAUGCCAAGCAUUUCUAUCGAAGGUGCAUAGCGAGAGACGACAUAAGAUGUGAUGUGGACGAGAACAUGUGGCCAAAUGCUGAAGAUCGUAUAGAUUAGAACAGGACUGUGCGUUUUUGUGUUUUUUCCCCUUCUGUGCCUUUUUUACUGUAAUUGUGUUUUAUUUUUACACAUUUGAAACCAAAGGCCAUGUAUAUAGGAUGUUUUGUUGAUCACUGGCAGUAAUUUCAUG